Molecule: ribosomal RNA, 465 nt
Filed under: uncultured bacterium
Lineage: Bacteria
Description: partial 16S ribosomal RNA
Rfam family: Bacterial small subunit ribosomal RNA
Source: RNAcentral
CCUACGGGAGGCAGCAGUGGGGAAUAUUGCGCAAUGGGCGAAAGCCUGACGCAGCGACGCCGCGUGAGGGAUGAAGGUCUUCGGAUCGUAAACCUCUGUCAGCAGGGAAGAACGGUCACUGUGCUAAUCAGCAGUGAAUUGACGGUACCUGCAAAGGAAGCACCGGCUAACUCCGUGCCAGCAGCCGCGGUAAUACGUAGGGUGCGAGCGUUAAUCGGAAUUACUGGGCGUAAGGCGCUCGUAGGCGGUAUGUCAAGUCAAGGGUGAAAUCCCCGCGCUCAACGUGGGAACUGCCCUUGAAACUGGCAAACUGGAGUGUGGGAGAGGAUAGUGGAAUUCCAGGUGUAGGAGUGAAAGCCGUAGAUAUCUGGAGGAACAUCAGUGGCGAAGGCGACUAUCUGGCACAUAACUGACGCUGAGGAGCGAAAGCGUGGGUAGCAAACAGGAUUAGAUACCCUUGUAGUC